CCAAUGUUAAUAGUGAAAAUACUGCGAAAAACACACCUCUUCAUUUAGCUGCUCAGAAUGGUUAUAGGAGUAUCGCUAAGCUUCUCAUCGAUAAAGGAGCCAAUACUCUCAUUAAAAAUAAUGCGAAUCAGACGCCUCUUCAAGUAGCUGUUAACAAUGGUCACAAUGAAGUCGUCAGACUUUUUAUCGGUAAAGGAAACAAAAUUAAUAUUGCAGAGCAUUUUGAAUAGAUUCAAUUGUCUACUAACAAUGGU
Sitodiplosis mosellana (orange wheat blossom midge) is the source of this 254-nucleotide long non-coding RNA. RefSeq lists it as uncharacterized. The transcript is spliced from 3 exons. The record is from RefSeq and is a predicted model, not a curated record. NCBI's taxonomy places the organism in Eukaryota, Metazoa, Arthropoda, Insecta, Diptera, Cecidomyiidae.